RNAcentral lists this ribosomal RNA (460 nucleotides) under uncultured bacterium. Its description in RNAcentral is "partial 16S ribosomal RNA". It matches the Rfam family "Bacterial small subunit ribosomal RNA", at positions 338 to 795 of the family's 1533-position model. The record is from RNAcentral.
CCUACGGGAGGCAGCAGUGAGGAAUAUUGGUCAAUGGGCGGGAGCCUGAACCAGCCAAGUCGCGUGAGGGAAGACGGUCCUAUGGAUUGUAAACCUCUUUAGGCGGGGAGCAAUGCCGGGCACGUGUGCCCGGAGGGAGAGUACCCGCAGAAUAAGCAUCGGCUAACUCCGUGCCAGCAGCCGCGGUAAUACGGAGGAUGCGCGCGGUAUCCUGAUUUAUGGGGUUUAAAGGGUGCGUAGGCGGAUUUUUAAGUCAGCGGUAAAAUGUCCGGGCUCAACCCGGGCCGGCCGUUGAAACUGGGGAUCUUGAGUGGGCGAGAAGUAUGCGGAAUGCGUGGUGUAGCGGUGAAAUGCAUAGAGAUCACGCAGAACUCCGAUUGCGAAGGCAGCAUACCGGCGCCCGACUGACGCUGAGGCACGAAAGCGUGGGGAUCGAACAGGAUUAGAUACCCGGGUAGUC